This 253-nucleotide ribosomal RNA is filed under the name uncultured bacterium. RNAcentral's name for it is "partial 16S ribosomal RNA". It matches the Rfam family "Bacterial small subunit ribosomal RNA", at positions 524 to 776 of the family's 1533-position model. The record is from RNAcentral.
UACGUAGGUGGCAAGCGUUGUCCGGAAUUAUUGGGCGUAAAGCGCGCGCAGGCGGUCCCUUAAGUCUGAUGUGAAAGCCCACGGCUCAACCGUGGAGGGUCAUUGGAAACUGGGGGACUUGAGUGCAGAAGAGGAAAGUGGAAUUCCAUGUGUAGCGGUGAAAUGCGUAGAGAUGUGGAGGAACACCAGUGGCGAAGGCGACUUUCAGGUCUGUAACUGACGCUGAGGCGCGAAAGCGUGGGGAGCAAACAGG